Liolophura sinensis is the source of this 291-nucleotide long non-coding RNA. RefSeq lists it as uncharacterized. The record is from RefSeq and is a predicted model, not a curated record. The transcript has 3 exons. Lineage: Eukaryota; Metazoa; Mollusca; Polyplacophora; Chitonida; Chitonidae.
GCCAUGAUGGAACCAAGACAUCCAAGGUGCUGAAGCACUUGAGGACCAUUACAGACCCCAACUUUAAAACAUUGAACGAUUUGGUGGCCACUGGUCCCCACUCAUUUUACGCUACCAUAUUCUACACCUUGGGUCCUACAAUAGACCGUCUGCUUCUUUACCCUGGGGGUGGGAUAUUUCGUUAUGACGAGGGCAAGACCACUGUCUUAGACACAGGACUGAUCUUAGCCAAUGGCAUCAACAUUUCUCCAGAUAAACGGUAUCUUUAUGUGGUAGAGGGAGGACGAAGGA